CUAAGGAAGCCGACCCUGGCUGGUCCGGCACCUUCAAAGCCCAGAUGGCGCGUCUCUGCCGCCGCCGGCGCAUCCCUUCUCACGGUUCUCGACGUGCUCCUCAGUGGGGCACGGCCGGGCUAGUAGCUCAGUUGGUUAGAGCGCGCGCUUGAUAAGCGUGAGGUCGGAGGUUCAAAUCCUCCCUGGCCCACCAUGUUUAGCGAUCGUGCGUUUGCCGAUCGGGGGCAUAGCUCAGUUGGGAGAGCGCCUGCUUUGCAAGCAGGAGGUCGUCGGUUCGAUCCCGUCUGCCUCCACCAGUUUUUCUGGUGUCGAGCGUGGAUGAUCGGCCGCCCGAUUACGAGGACCGUUGGAAGGAACCACAACACGGCAACGUGAACAGCAACGAGCGCGCAGCGCUCGUUGCUGUGUCCCUGACGGGACGGGAUCAUGGACAAGUGAAGAUGAAGUGCAAGUGACCGAGGACGCUCCUCGGCCGGCCCAGACCCACAAGGUCAAAGCUGGCUGGGAGUAGCAUCGAACGGCGGAAACGACCAGCCCUGUCGGUUGGUUCGCGAGCAGGCUUGUUCCUGCGCGUGGCGCAAGCGUUUUCGUUGGAGUUGAG
This 601-nucleotide transfer RNA is filed under the name Azospirillum lipoferum. RNAcentral's name for it is "16S-23S intergenic spacer". The stretch from base 117 to 190 matches the Rfam family "tRNA". The record is from RNAcentral. Lineage: Bacteria; Pseudomonadati; Pseudomonadota; Alphaproteobacteria; Rhodospirillales; Azospirillaceae.